RNAcentral lists this long non-coding RNA (5423 nucleotides) under Sus scrofa (pig). Its description in RNAcentral is "lncRNA (ENSSSCG00015029732.1)". The record is from RNAcentral. Lineage: Eukaryota; Metazoa; Chordata; Mammalia; Artiodactyla; Suidae.
GGGCUGCUGUAACAAAGCACCACCCACACAUCAGGUGGCGAAGAACGACAGAAAUGUACACGCUCGCCGUUCUGCAGCCGGAAGCCUGAAAUCCCAGUGGCAGCAGGGUUGCUUUCCCUGCGAAGAUUCUAGGGAAGAGUCCUUCCUUUUCUCUCUCCUACCUCCUGCUGGUGGCUGGCCACCCCUGGCCUUACUUAGCUUCUUGUAGUUCUCACUCCCUUCUCCGCUUCCGUCCACUCCCUUGCAUCUGGUCCAGUGUCCCUUUUCUUACAAAGAUUAGGUCCACCCUUAUGUGACCUCCUCUUAGCUUGAUUACUCCCCCAAGACCCUGUCCCAAAUGUCACACUCACCAGUAUUGGGGGGUUAGAACUUGACCAUAACUUUUGCAGGGGAAACAGCCAACAAAGUAUGUGAGGAAAAUGUUACAAGUUUGUUUUCGUUUACCUUAUUUCUUUUCUAUAAAACAUCAUGUUUUAUCAUAAUACAGGCUUUUGCUUAUAAAUUAUAAGCAGAUACUUCUGCACAUCCUGGGGGCUAUGCUCAAACGUGAGUGAUGAAGACAUAGUUUAAAAAUAAACCAGAAGUUCCUGCCAUGGCACAGUGCAAGAAGUCCACUGCUGCGGCUUGGAUCCCUGCAGAGGUGCAGGUCUGAUCCCUUGCCAGGCACAGUGGGUUCAAGGAUCCAGCGUAGCCACACCUGCAGUGUAGUUUGCAGCUGUGGCUUGGAUCCAGUCCCUGGCUCAGGAACGUCCAUGUGCUGUGGGUGCAGCUAUUAAAAAAACAAAACAACAACAGUAAAACAAACAAACAAACAAAAAACACCAAUCAGACUACCUGUCUGAUUGAUGGAGAGGCCCAGUCUUAGUCAACCUGGGCUGCCGUAACCAAAUAUCUUAGGGAGGCUUCAACAAGAGGAAAUUUAUGUUCUUAUAGUUCUGGAAACUGGGAAGUCCAGGAUCGAGGUGCGGCUGAUUCGGUUUCUGGUGAAGGCUCUCCUCCUGGCUUGCAGGCAGCCACCUUCUUGCUGUACCUUCACCUAGUAGAGGGAGAGGAAGAGGGAGAGAACACACCAGCUCUUUGGUGUCUCUGCUUCUAAGUGUGCUAAUCCUAUGGCAGCGGGGCUCCACCCUCGUGACCUCAUUUAACCUUAAUUACCGCCAUCAGGUCCUCGCUCCCGAGAGAAUCAGAGAAUCGAGGAUCGAGACUGCACCAUGUGAAGUUGGAGGGGGACACAGUUUAGUCUAUAGCAGGUCCCAUUGUUCGGAUUUUGUUAUAUGAUAAGAUUCCCUUGGUUCCUGUGAAUUACAACGAAACCUUAAAAGUUAUCGCGGGGUGGAUAGAUCUUGACUUUGGUUCCAGGUACACCUGGUUUUUGUCCUGGCCUUUUUAUCCCUUUAUUUUUAUUUUUUCAUUUUACCAUCAAUCGCUGGGUGCUUUGGGCAAGCUAAAUGCCCUCUCUGAGCGUCCCUUUCUGUGUCUGUGACGUGAGAUGAUGCCUGCUUAGGGACUCUUUGGGAGGCUACGUGAGGUUCCUGAGUAGGUGCGCAGGAGCUUUUAGCAGCUUUCCCUUCUACCCCGCAGACCGGCCCCCUUCCCGACCUCCCCAGCAGCGGCUGCCCUGCUCCUGCUUCCCAGACAGGUGAGAGUUUUCAGGGUGUAAGUCCUUAGUCCUGGGGGUGGCUCUCAACAGCGUGUGUCUGAGGUCUUCUUGGGCCCUGGAUGCCUUCCUCAGCCCUUCUGUUUAUCAUCAGCUCUGGGUCUCGUCCAGGCUCACUAUCCCUAAUGUCCUCAUUUAGCCAUUGUACUGUCAUUUUGCUUUUUCUACGUGGAUUGUCUUGACUCAGACUAGCUUGUAAAGCGACCUAAGGAAUCCAGCCCCUGCAUGUGCAGCACGUGGUUGAGAGUGAGUGUGCUGGGUUUGCCGGGUGGAAGAGAAGGGUGGGCUUUGGCCCAGGUCUGAGGAGGUGGGUGGUGGGAUGGACAGGCUGUUCUGUUUCCCUCGCUGCCCACUGCCCAGGCAGCCGACGGCCCAGGGCACGGCUGGCGUUAAACAAGGUCUGUAGCAGCGUUGAGAGGGGCCGAGUGGUGUGCUCAUUAGGAACCCAGGCCUGAAAGCCACAUAAACCCCGUGGGAGUCCUAAGCCUGUCCCUUACGGCUCUCAAGGCCUUCGGCAACAUCUUGGUUUCCCCACUGGCAUGAUGGCCCUAAUAAUGGUACCUGUUUCAUGAGGAGGCUGUAGAGAGGAAACACGAUAAUGCAGGUAUGAGCUUGGUGUGAUAGCAGGCAGUGUAGACGAGGGAGAGUGGUGGGCUGGGGGGACCACUGCUCUCAGCUGGGCUCUGAGCUAGGCUUGCGAACCCCCGUGCUUCUCAUCCGCUCACUCUGAUGGCCGAGUUACUGCCCCUCUCUCAGCUGCUGCCCUUUGGUACCUCUAAAGGUUAAUGAUGCUUUUCUCAAAGCAACAGGAAGAUUCAUAAUUAUCACUAAUAAGUUCGACUGGGAAACGUCACAACUUCAUUUUAGCCUUUCAGGGAGUUAAAGUUUGGAGCCGAGGCCAGGAGGAGGUUGGUGCAAGUUCUAAGCCUCUUAAGUCACUCUCAAAUAGGAAACCUGUAUGGCACCCUGCAGAUGUAUUAGAGUCUUGUCGGCUUUUUCUCUGGGAUCUUUAGUACACAUACCUGCUGGUGACUCCUGCUUGGCCUGAAGCCCUGACCUUGUCCUCAGGAAAUCCCUCCAGGUCUAGAUGCGCUGGUGUUUCAAGUUCUCUGGCUCCUGCUCUUCUCACUGUAUCUGUCCAGGUGCUGACACAGCCACGGCUGACUUCCUUUGCUCCCGAGUUAGGCAUUUUGGCAGGUUGCAGCCACGGAUGUUGCUGGCAGCAGGAGGUGGGUCUUCUCAUGCACUGCUGGUUGGUGAAGGGAGGUUUGGCAGGAGCUCUCAAAAUUUAGCGUGUACCCUUUGACCCGGCAGCCCCUCAUCUAAUGAAUCUGCCCCCUGGAAACAGUAAAGCACAUUUCCAAAGGUGUUCAUUUCAGAGCAUUGAUAAAAUAGCACAGCUGGACCACAGGCUCCCUGAUGAACAGUGUCCUACCCAGCAGGCACAGAGACCUUGCGACCUUCUCAGGGCUGAGUCGGGAGGUACAUGGUGCUGGAUUAUCCCACGGCUGAUGAUGUCUCCCUCGAGCAUAGAAGAAAGUUGUGUCCGCUGGGUUUCUUCACCAUAAAGUUACUUUCCCCCUUUAGAAUUAAUGAGUAUCUUUGAUGCUAUGUAAAUACCUUGUUUCUCAUCAUACUCCCAGCUAACUGAUGCUCGCAUCCACUGAUAAUUCUUGCCUGGAAACGGUGUCCCUGGGUGUGCAGCACGUGGUUGAGAGUGAGUGUGCUGGGGAGUGUGUGUGCUGGGGAGUGUGCAGGGCGUGUUUCCAUCAUCACCUCUGCAAUUAGCAUUUGAAAAUCUGAUGUAAGGGAGACUUUUCCUUUCUUUUCCAUUAAAAAAUUCAGUUGUUUCUAUCAGUAUGAACUCAAAUUCUCAUUCUCUUGGUUACAAUCUGUGAUUGCAGUUUUUCCUCGGUUUGGCGGUUGGGAUGCCCUUCCAGUUGGGUUCUGUGACCUUCUGACUUUUCUCCAUCACGUUUUGAGCACAGCCUUACUUUCUGGCAUCACAAGAUGUUCCAAGCAAACCCUCAUUGUGGGACAUUCUGCAGAAUCACUGGCCAGUGCUCCUCAAAAAUGAAAGACAAAGCAAGCCUGAGAAACGAUGCCGGAUUAACGGCAAACUGAGGGACACGAUGGCUAAAGGCAGCGUGUGAGCUGGGGUGGGAUUCUAGGUUGGAAAAAGACAUUUCUGGUAAAAUUUGAGUAAUGUUGCUGCGUGAAACAAUAGGAUUUUAUUAGUGUUGAUUUCCUGGUACAACUUGAUCAUUAUAAUGUGGUUACAUAAGACACCAGUAUUGAGAAAUUGCAAGGCUAUGGGAUUCAUUGUAUUUUCAGUCUUUUUUAAGUGUGAACUUAUUUCAAAGUGACAAGUAAAAAAAACCCAAAAAACCUUAAAUACAAACAAUUGAGAUGAACUUAAAUAUAUUAAUAAGGAUGGGUGUCCAUAAUUAAUAAUAGAAGAAGAAAAGCUGUAGUAUUUUUUUUUUCUGGUGUAGAAUUAGCCCGCCUUUGUCAAAACAAGAGGACAAAAUAGUACAUAUGCAUAUUUGAGCACAAAAUUCUGAGAAAGGUAUGAACUUCCUGUUAACAUACAUUUCCGGGAAGCGUGAUUGGAAGGUGUGAGAAAGUGGGAACUUUUACUCUGUGAUUUUCUUUUUUAAACCAAGAGCAUGUCUUAAUAUUAUGGUGGGAAAGUGAUGAGCAUGUGGUUUGUGUGGGACCAGGGUGGGGGGAGGGGAGGGGCGCAUCUGCCCGUGAGUGUUUGGUGUGCUGUUUUCCAUCCAACUCUGCUUCUGUUGCGUUUUCCUCCACGGGCCGUGCCCUGCAAAGAGUCUUACCCAGCGGACCCUCCCCCGUGCUUUGCCCCCCUCUCUGCUUUCUGCUUUCUGAUCCUGAACACAGUCAGUCUGUUGUAGACACAGAGGGGGUCUGUGGACCACACCUCGGGAUGCCCGCUGACUCACCUUCCCUUUGUCCAGCCGCGCCGCGGUCCUUCACCCUCAGUCGCUUUGGAGAGAACUCCACUCCGAAGCGUGUCUCCUUGGGGUCUCCCUGGAGGAGCGUAAAUUAGAAAUCUGCCAAGUGACAGCCCUCAUAUUUGCUUCUCUAAGGACCAGUGGUUCAUUAAGUGGUGCUUGGUAUUGCUAAGCCCCAUUAAUUAGUGAACCGCCAUCAGUUUCUCCCAGGAAUUUUUAAUGAUCACUAGCCUUUUGUGCCGAAUGUGAAAUUUCAUUUUGGUUAAUUUUUUUUUUUUUUUUUUUUUGGUCUUUCUAGGGCCGCAUGCACAGCAUACGGAGGUUCCCAGGCUAGGGGUCGAAUUGGAGCUACAGCUGCCGGCCACAGCCACAGCCACAGCAAUGUGGGAUCCGAGCUGCAUCUGCAGCCUACACCACAGCUCACGGCAUUGCCUGAUCCUCAACCCACUGAGCAAAGCCAGGGAUCGAACCUGCAUCCUCAUGGAUGCUAGUCAGAUUCGUUUCCACUGAGCCAUGACAGGAACUCCGGUAAAUUUAUUUUUAUGCAUAGGUUUGUUUUCCCAUCUCAGAGCAAGCAUUCCUUGAUUCCAGAAGGGAGAAGCAAGAACCAAAAAUAACCUUUCUUGGGGGCCUACUGUGUGCCAUGAGCACACACUGUUACAGACACACUAUUACAGAUAUUAGCUAGUGUGACCUCCCCCUACAGUUGGGGCUCUGUAUAUGCAGGUUCUGCAUCUGUGAACUCAACUAACCACAGGUUGAAAAUAUUCCAAAAAAAAGAUUCCAGAAAA